This 750-nucleotide ribosomal RNA is filed under the name uncultured bacterium. Its description in RNAcentral is "bacterial SSU rRNA". It matches the Rfam family "Bacterial small subunit ribosomal RNA", at positions 41 to 754 of the family's 1533-position model. The record is from RNAcentral.
GGGGGGCUAAACUGCAAGUCGAGCGAGCUUGCCUAGAUGAUUUUAGUGCUUGCACUAAAUGAAACUAGAUACAAGCGAGCGGCGGACGGGUGAGUAACACGUGGGUAACCUGCCCAAGAGACUGGGAUAACACCUGGAGACAGAUGCUAAUACCGGAUAACAACACUAGACGCAUGUCUAGAGUUUGAAAGAUGGUUCUGCUAUCACUCUUGGAUGGACCUGCGGUGCAUUAGCUAGUUGGUAAGGUAACGGCUUACCAAGGCAAUGAUGCAUAGCCGAGUUGAGAGACUGAUCGGCCACAUUGGGACUGAGACACGGCCCAAACUCCUACGGGAGGCAGCAGUAGGGAAUCUUCCACAAUGGACGAAAGUCUGAUGGAGCAACGCCGCGUGAGUGAAGAAGGGUUUCGGCUCGUAAAGCUCUGUUGGUAGUGAAGAAAGAUAGAGGUAGUAACUAGCCUUUAUUUGACGGUAAUUACUUAGAAAGUCACGGCUAACUACGUGCCAGCAGCCGCGGUAAUACGUAGGUGGCAAGCGUUGUCCGGAUUUAUUGGGCGUAAAGCGAGUGCAGGCGGUUCAAUAAGUCUGAUGUGAAAGCCUUCGGCUCAACCGGAGAAUUGCAUCAGAAACUGUUGAACUUGAGUGCAGAAGAGGAGAGUGGAACUCCAUGUGUAGCGGUGGAAUGCGUAGAUAUAUGGAAGAACACCAGUGGCGAAGGCGGCUCUCUGGUCUGCAACUGACGCUGAGGCUC